This 471-nucleotide ribosomal RNA is filed under the name uncultured Acidimicrobiales bacterium. RNAcentral describes it as "bacterial SSU rRNA". It matches the Rfam family "Bacterial small subunit ribosomal RNA", at positions 8 to 489 of the family's 1533-position model. The record is from RNAcentral. Lineage: Bacteria; Bacillati; Actinomycetota; Acidimicrobiia; Acidimicrobiales.
AGAGUUUGAUCAUGGCUCAGGACGAACGCUGGCGGCGCGCUUAACACAUGCAAGUCGAACGGGGUCCAUUUGGUAGCAAUACCAGAGAAGACCUAGUGGCGAACGGGUGCGUAACACGUGAGGAACCUGCCCCGAAGACCGGGAUAAGCCGAGGAAACUUGGUCUAAUACCGGAUAUCUUCACCUGGUCACCUGGCCGGGUGAAGAAAUGGAUUCCGCUUUGGGAUGGCCUCGCGGCCUAUCAGCUUGUUGGUGGGGUAACGGCCCACCAAGGCUUCGACGGGUAGCUGGUCUGAGAGGACGACCAGCCACACUGGGACUGAGAUACGGCCCAGACUCCUACGGGAGGCAGCAGUGGGGAAUAUUGCGCAAUGGGCGAAAGCCUGACGCAGCGACGCCGCGUGUGGGAUGAAGGCCCUCGGGUCGUAAACCACUUUCAGCAGGGACGAAAUUGACGGUACCUGCAGAAGAG